GUGGGGAAUUUUGGACAAUGGGCGCAAGCCUGAUCCAGCAAUGCCGCGUGCAGGAAGAAGGCCUUCGGGUUGUAAACUGCUUUUGUACGGAACGAAACGGUCCGGGUUAAUACCCUGGGCUAAUGACGGUACCGUAAGAAUAAGCACCGGCUAACUACGUGCCAGCAGCCGCGGUAAUACGUAGUGUGCAAGCGUUAAUCGGAAUUACUGGGUGUAACGCGUGCGCAGGCGGUUUUGUAAGACAGGCGUGAAAUCCCCGGGCUCAACCUGGGAAUUGCGCUUGUGACUGCAAGGCUGGAGUGCGGCAGAGGGGGAUGGAAUUCCGCGUGUAGCAGUGAAAUGCGUAGAUAUGCGGAGGAACACCGAUGGCGAAGGCAAUCCCCUGGGCCUGCACUGACGCUCAUGCACGAAAGCGUGGGGAGCAAACAGGAUUAGAAACCCGUGUAGUCC
RNAcentral lists this ribosomal RNA (450 nucleotides) under uncultured bacterium. RNAcentral's name for it is "partial 16S ribosomal RNA". It matches the Rfam family "Bacterial small subunit ribosomal RNA", at positions 354 to 796 of the family's 1533-position model. The record is from RNAcentral.